GCCGGCAUAGCUCAGCCGUGGUAGAGCAACUGACUUGUAAUCAGUAGGUCCCGAGUUCGACUCUUGGUGCCGGCACCA
RNAcentral lists this transfer RNA (78 nucleotides) under Pseudomonadales bacterium. RNAcentral's name for it is "tRNA-Thr". It matches the Rfam family "tRNA". From Rfam's summary of the family: Transfer RNA (tRNA) molecules are approximately 80 nucleotides in length. Their secondary structure includes four short double-helical elements and three loops (D, anti-codon, and T loops). The record is from RNAcentral. Lineage: Bacteria; Pseudomonadati; Pseudomonadota; Gammaproteobacteria; Pseudomonadales. RNAcentral also lists the same sequence under 2 other names.